This 277-nucleotide ribosomal RNA is filed under the name uncultured bacterium. RNAcentral's name for it is "partial 16S ribosomal RNA". It matches the Rfam family "Bacterial small subunit ribosomal RNA", at positions 28 to 298 of the family's 1533-position model. The record is from RNAcentral.
GACGGACGCUGGCGGCGUGCUUAACACAUGCAAGUGGAGCGACGAACCAGGCUUCGGCCUGGGGCAAAGCCGCGAACGGGUGAGUAACACGUGGGUAACCUGCCCCGAUGAUUGGGACAACCCGAGGAAACUCGGGCUAAUACCGAAUGUGCCCUCCGACCAUAAAGUCGCUGGGGAAAGGUAGCUUCGGCUUCCGCAUCGGGAUGGGCCCGCGGCCCAUUAGCUUGUUGGUGAGGUAACGGCUCACCAAGGCGACGAUGGGUAGCUGGUCUGAGAG